This 89-nucleotide transfer RNA is filed under the name Chloroflexota bacterium. RNAcentral describes it as "tRNA-Ser". It matches the Rfam family "tRNA". From Rfam's summary of the family: Transfer RNA (tRNA) molecules are approximately 80 nucleotides in length. Their secondary structure includes four short double-helical elements and three loops (D, anti-codon, and T loops). The record is from RNAcentral. RNAcentral also lists the same sequence under 1 other name. Lineage: Bacteria; Bacillati; Chloroflexota.
GGGGGGGUGCCAGAGUGGUCGAAUGGGGCCGCCUGCUAAGCGGUUUUCCGGGUUAUACCGGAACGCAGGUUCGAAUCCUGUCCCUCCCG